AGCGAACGCUGGCGGCAGGCUUAACACAUGCAAGUCGAACGGGCUUCUUCGGAAGUCAGUGGCAGACGGGUGAGUAACACGUGGGAACGUGCCCUUCGGUUCGGAAUAACUCAGGGAAACUUGAGCUAAUACCGGAUACGCCCUUUUGGGGAAAGGUUUACUGCCGAAGGAUCGGCCCGCGUCUGAUUAGCUUGUUGGUGGGGUAACGGCCUACCAAGGCGACGAUCAGUAGCUGGUCUGAGAGGAUGAUCAGCCACCCUGGGACUGAGACACGGCCCAGACUCCUACGGGAGGCAGCAGUGGGGAAUAUUGGACAAUGGGCGCAAGCCUGAUCCAGCCAUGCCGCGUGAGUGAUGAAGGCCUUAGGGUUGUAAAGCUCUUUUGUCCGGGACGAUAAUGACGGUACCGGAAGAAUAAGCCCCGGCUAACUUCGUG
RNAcentral lists this ribosomal RNA (435 nucleotides) under uncultured bacterium. Its description in RNAcentral is "partial 16S ribosomal RNA". It matches the Rfam family "Bacterial small subunit ribosomal RNA", at positions 29 to 507 of the family's 1533-position model. The record is from RNAcentral.